UUGCAGAAUUCAGUGAAUCAUCUUAAUCUUUGAACGCACCUUGCGCUCCUUGGUAUUCCGAGGAGCAUGCCUGUUUGAGUG
RNAcentral lists this ribosomal RNA (81 nucleotides) under uncultured fungus. RNAcentral describes it as "partial 5.8S ribosomal RNA". It matches the Rfam family "5.8S ribosomal RNA", at positions 72 to 151 of the family's 154-position model. From Rfam's summary of the family: 5.8S ribosomal RNA (5.8S rRNA) is a component of the large subunit of the eukaryotic ribosome. Lineage: Eukaryota; Fungi. The record is from RNAcentral.